GAUGAAGAACGUAGUGAAAUGCGAUAAGUAAUGUGAAUUGCAGAAUUCAGUGAACCAUCGAAUCUUUGAACGCACAUUGCGCCCGGCAGUAAUCUGCCGGGCAUGCCUGUCCGAGCGUCAUUUCUCCCCUCGAGCGCAGCUUUCCCCCCCGGGGGAGGGCCGCGCCCGGUGUUGGGGCGCUACGGAGGAGCCCAGCGCUCCCCCGUAGGCCCCGAAAUGUAGUGGCGGUCCCGCCGCGGCGCCCCCUGCGUAGUAGUUUUACAACUCGCAUCGGGUCCCGGCGGAGGCCAGCCGUCAAACCCCCCAACUUAAAUAGUUUGACCUCGGAUCAGGUAGGGUUACCCGCUGAACUUAAGCAUAUCAAUAAGCGGAGGA
Molecule: unclassified non-coding RNA, 375 nt
Filed under: soil metagenome
Description: partial contains 5.8S ribosomal RNA, internal transcribed spacer 2, and large subunit ribosomal RNA
Rfam family: 5.8S ribosomal RNA (bases 1-120)
Source: RNAcentral